This 248-nucleotide ribosomal RNA is filed under the name uncultured bacterium. Its description in RNAcentral is "partial 16S ribosomal RNA". It matches the Rfam family "Bacterial small subunit ribosomal RNA", at positions 333 to 598 of the family's 1533-position model. The record is from RNAcentral.
UGCUACCUACGGGGGGCAGCAGUAGGGAAUAUUGCUCAAUGGGGGAAACCCUGAAGCAGCAACGCCGCGUGGAGGAUGAAGGUUUUGGGAUUGUAAACUCCUUUUGUUAGAGAAGAUAAUGACGGUAUCUAACGAAUAAGCACCGGCUAACUCCGUGCCAGCAGCCGCGGUAAUACGGAGGGUGCAAGCGUUACUCGGAAUCACUGGGCGUAAAGAGUGCGUAGGCGGGGUAAUAAGUCAGGUGUGAA